GAUGAACGCUGGCGGCGUGCUUAACACAUGCAAGUCGAACGGUGAAGGCGGAGUUUGUCCUGCUGGAUCAGUGGCGAACGGGUGAGUAACAUGUGAGUAAUCCGCCUCUGACUCUGGGACAUGCGCUGGCAACGGCGACUACUACUGGGUACGAGCUGCGAAGGCAUCUUCAGCAGCUGGCAAGAAUCUCGGUAAGGGAUGAGCUCUCGGGUUACUAGCUUGUUGGUGAGGUAAUGGCUCACCGAGGCAUCGACGGAUAGUCGGCCUGGGAGGGUGACCAGCCACACUGGGACUGAGGCACGGCCCAGACUCCAACGUGGGACAGCAGUGGAGAGUAUUACACAGUGAUCGAGAGCCUGAUGCGGCAGCGCCGCGUGAGGGACGACGGCCUUCGGGUUAUAAACCUCUUUUAGCAAAGAAGAAGCGAAAGUGACGGUACCUACAGAAAAAGCGCCGGCUAACUACGUG
Molecule: ribosomal RNA, 468 nt
Filed under: uncultured bacterium
Lineage: Bacteria
Description: partial 16S ribosomal RNA
Rfam family: Bacterial small subunit ribosomal RNA
Source: RNAcentral